UUAAGUGACGAUAGCCUAGGAGAUACACCUGUACCCAUGCCGAACACAGAAGUUAAGCCCUAGAA
Molecule: ribosomal RNA, 65 nt
Filed under: Streptococcus pneumoniae
Lineage: Bacteria; Bacillati; Bacillota; Bacilli; Lactobacillales; Streptococcaceae
Also listed under: 1 other name
Source: RNAcentral